This 959-nucleotide long non-coding RNA is filed under the name Medicago truncatula (barrel medic). RNAcentral describes it as "lncRNA gene31839". The record is from RNAcentral. Lineage: Eukaryota; Viridiplantae; Streptophyta; Magnoliopsida; Fabales; Fabaceae.
CGCCUUUAGGUGUUUUAUUUUAUUUAACAUUUCGUCCAUAGGUCCUUGGUCCAAAUUUUUUCUCCAAGGCGUGUUUUGCUCUCAUUUUGCAUUGGAUCCCUUUAUUACAUAUUUUUGUCUUUUCUCUGAGAAAUUUGAUUUUUAGUUGUAUUUAAUGCCCCUCCUAUUGCACUCUCCAAUCAGUCAGUAAAACGUUGCAGAUUACAAACACGAAAUUACUUCUCUCCUACAGUUUUGGAUCAAAUCUCACCUUUUUUUUCAAAAUUUGGGAGAAAUUGUUAGGUAUGAUUCAAAACUGUAUCAGAGAUGAAUAUUUUUUCGUGUUUGUAAUAAUUGCUGCUGCUGAAUUCUGAAGCCUUCUUUGACUUAUUUGGACAGUGCAAUAAAUUGGAUUUUAAAUACCACUAAAAAUUAGGGUUUCUCUGAUAAAGAUAAAAGACCAAAAUAUCCCUCAAGGGAUCUAAUGCAAAAUGGCAGCAAGUUUGGACCAAAGACCAAUAGUAUAGUGACACAUGGACAUAAAGAAUGAGAUCAAAGACUAAGACUAAAAUAAAACGGCUUAAAAGAAAAUAAAACAAAAAAUGAAAUAUAAUUUAUAGUUAAAUAAUAAAAAACGAAAAUACAAAAUAAAACCUUGACGACCUGCCAAAGGAAAAUACUUGGAUGACAUUGGUAACCUAAUUCUUUUAACUUUCCUAGGGUUGAGAAAACUACCAAACUCCCAUGGAUAACACACUCAAAUCGUUGGUCCAUCUAUUUUAAACCAUUAAUUUAAGAAAGGAAUAAACCUUAAUCAAAUAUAUGCACAAUAUUCGAAAAAAAAAAGGCUCAUAGACAACACAACAGUAUAAAACCCUAGUUUGACUAACAUACAGACAAAAAUUGCCUUAAUCCAAAUCCAUGCAUACAGAACCUUAAAAGGUAAAAAAAUCGUUGAAAUGUUCAAAACCCUAAUCAAA